GCUAGGUGUGGUGGUGCACACCUGUAAUCCCAGUGGCCAGGAGGCUAAGGCAGGAAGAUUUGUGAGUUCAAAGCCAGCCUCAG
Molecule: small RNA, 83 nt
Filed under: Marmota monax (woodchuck)
Lineage: Eukaryota; Metazoa; Chordata; Mammalia; Rodentia; Sciuridae
Source: RNAcentral